RNAcentral lists this ribosomal RNA (268 nucleotides) under uncultured Actinomycetales bacterium. RNAcentral's name for it is "partial 16S ribosomal RNA". It matches the Rfam family "Bacterial small subunit ribosomal RNA", at positions 504 to 771 of the family's 1533-position model. The record is from RNAcentral. Lineage: Bacteria; Bacillati; Actinomycetota; Actinomycetes; Actinomycetales.
UGUGCCAGCAGCCGCGGUAAUACGUAGGGUGCGAGCGUUGUCCGGAAUUAUUGGGCGUAAAGAGCUUGUAGGCGGUUUGUCGCGUCUGCUGUGAAAGCCCGGGGCUUAACCCCGGGUCUGCAGUGGGUACGGGCAGGCUAGAGUGUGGUAGGGGAGACUGGAAUUCCUGGUGUAGCGGUGGAAUGCGCAGAUAUCAGGAGGAACACCGAUGGCGAAGGCAGGUCUCUGGGCCACUACUGACGCUGAGAAGCGAAAGCGUGGGGAGCGA